RNAcentral lists this long non-coding RNA (230 nucleotides) under Setaria italica (foxtail millet). RNAcentral's name for it is "long non-coding RNA (SITA_LNC007215)". The record is from RNAcentral. Lineage: Eukaryota; Viridiplantae; Streptophyta; Magnoliopsida; Poales; Poaceae.
UCAGUCUUUGGAGUUACACGGACGUAGUUCUACACGAUUGGCAAAAUAAAAAUUCCUUUUUUCCUUGCCUGCACGUGUUUCUGUGGCCCGCGAUGCAUCCGCCACCGCCUUAAUUCCCACGAAUCAAUAUGCCGUCACGUGCCGUCCGCCAUCCGCCCGUGCCCCACUAGCCUCGGCGUUCGCUGCCGUCGACCCCCUCGCCAUCCACUGGUCGCUCACGCCACCGCCCG